RNAcentral lists this ribosomal RNA (258 nucleotides) under uncultured bacterium. Its description in RNAcentral is "partial 16S ribosomal RNA". It matches the Rfam family "Bacterial small subunit ribosomal RNA", at positions 524 to 776 of the family's 1533-position model. The record is from RNAcentral.
UACGGAGGAUCCGAGCGUUAUCCGGAUUUAUUGGGUUUAAAGGGUGCGUAGGCGGCCUGUUAAGUCAGGGGUGAAAGACGGUAGCUCAACUAUCGCAGUGCCCUUGAUACUGAUGGGCUAGAAUGUACUAGAGGCAGGCGGAAUGUGACAAGUAGCGGUGAAAAUGCAUAGAUAUGUCACAGAACACCAAAUUGCGAAGGCAGCUUGCUAUGGUAUAAUUGACGCUGAGGCACGAAAAGCGUGGGGGAUCAAAACAGG